This 408-nucleotide ribosomal RNA is filed under the name uncultured microorganism. RNAcentral's name for it is "bacterial SSU rRNA". It matches the Rfam family "Archaeal small subunit ribosomal RNA", at positions 330 to 742 of the family's 1478-position model. The record is from RNAcentral.
GUGCAGCAGGCGCGAAAACUUUACAAUGUGCGAAAGCACGAUAAGGGAACUCUGAGUGCCUCCUAAGGAGGCUGUUCAGGUGUCUAAAAAGCACCUGGAGUAAGGGCUGGGUAAGACCGGUGCCAGCCGCCGCGGUAACACCGGCAGCCCAGGUGGUAGCCACUUUUAUUGGGUCUAAAGCGUCCGUAGCCGGUUGAGUAAGUUCCUUGGGAAAUUUGGCUGCUCAACAGUCAAGCUUCCAGGGAAUACUGCUCGACUUGGGGACUGGGAGAGGUCAGAGGUACUCCAGGGGUAGGGGUGAAAUCCAUUAAUCCCUGGGGGACCACCGGUAGCGAAGGCGUCUGACCAGACCAGGUCCGACGGUGAGGGACGAAGGCUAGGGUCGCGAACCGGAUUAGAUACCCGUGU